AUGGCAAAUAGGAUAUUUCAGAAUAUAUCAGUUCAUAGCAAAUGGAGCACAGAGUAAUUGGAGCAUAUCAAUAGCGUAUGAAAUGUUCCGGAGCAUAUCAAUGACAUAUGGAACAUUUCGAAGCGUAACAAUAACAAAUGAAAUAUUUCGGAGCAUAUCAAAGGCGUAUGAAAUGUUUUGGAGCAUAUCAAUGACAAAUAAAACAUUUCGGAAC
Molecule: long non-coding RNA, 214 nt
Filed under: Musa acuminata (dwarf banana)
Lineage: Eukaryota; Viridiplantae; Streptophyta; Magnoliopsida; Zingiberales; Musaceae
Description: long non-coding RNA (MACU_LNC011398)
Source: RNAcentral